Molecule: ribosomal RNA, 449 nt
Filed under: uncultured bacterium
Lineage: Bacteria
Description: partial 16S ribosomal RNA
Rfam family: Bacterial small subunit ribosomal RNA
Source: RNAcentral
GUGGGGAAUAUUCCGCAAUGGACGAAAGUCUGACGGAGCAACGCCGCGUGAGUGAUGAAGGUUUUCGGACUGUAAAGCUCUGUUGUUUAGGACGAAAGUGCCUGUUGCAAAUAGUUACAGGUAUUGACGGUACUGAACGAGGAAGCCACGGCUAACUACGUGCCAGCAGCCGCGGUAAUACGUAGGUGGCAAGCGUUGUCCGGAAUUAUUGGGCGUAAAGAGCAUGUAGGCGGGAAUCUAAGUCUGUUGUGAAAAUGCGGGGGUCAACCCCGUAUUGGGAUGGAAACUGGGUUUCUUGAGUGCAGGAGAGGAAAGGGGAAUUCCCAGUGUAGCGGUGAAAUGCGUAGAUAUUGGGAGGAACACCAGUGGCGAAGGCGCCUUUCUGGACUGUGUCUGACGCUGAGAUGCGAAAGCCAGGGUAGCGAACGGGAUUAGAUACCCGGUAGUCC